Molecule: ribosomal RNA, 253 nt
Filed under: uncultured bacterium
Lineage: Bacteria
Description: partial 16S ribosomal RNA
Rfam family: Bacterial small subunit ribosomal RNA
Source: RNAcentral
GACGAAGGGGGCUAGCGUUGUUCGGAAUUACUGGGCGUAAAGAGCUCGUAGGUGGUUUGUCGCGUUGUUCGUGAAAACCGGGGGCUUAACCCUCGGCGUGCGGGCGAUACGGGCAGACUUGAGUACUGCAGGGGAGACUGGAAUUCCUGGUGUAGCGGUGGAAUGCGCAGAUAUCAGGAGGAACACCGGUGGCGAAGGCGGGUCUCUGGGCAGUAACUGACGCUGAGGAGCGAAAGCGUGGGGAGCGAACAGG